RNAcentral lists this ribosomal RNA (301 nucleotides) under uncultured bacterium. RNAcentral describes it as "partial 16S ribosomal RNA". It matches the Rfam family "Bacterial small subunit ribosomal RNA", at positions 509 to 809 of the family's 1533-position model. The record is from RNAcentral.
CAGUAGCCACGGUAAUACGAAGGGUGCAAGCGUUAAUCGGAAUUACUGGGCGUAAAGCGUGCGCAGGCGGUUCGCUAAGACAGAUGUGAAAUCCCCGGGCUUAGCCUGGGAACUGCAUUUGUGACUGGCGGGCUAGAGUAUGGCAGAGGGGGGUAGAAUUCCACGUGUAGCAGUGAAAUGCGUAGAGAUGUGGAGGGAUACCGAUGGCGAAGGCAGCCCCCUGGGCCAAUACUGACGCUCAUGCACGAAAGCGUGGGGAGCAAACAGGAUUAGAUACCCCCGUAGUCCCUGUCUCUUAUAA